GACGGCGGCUAUUCCAGGAGACUGGAGCAGGAGACGUUUUCAAAGGCACAGUGAGGAUGACAGCAUAACACCAUUUGGAAUAACCCUGGGCUAAUAAUCAGUCCAGGAUUAACAGAUGUUGAGCAGAUGCCCUUGCACAAGUCUUAUGAUGAUUUUUUUUUUUGGUGUAGUUUUGUAGUGGGCUUUGGUCAAGGUUGGGGAUCUGACAGAGUCUUCUGUGGUCAUUUCUGUUAUCAGGCAUGUGCACACAAGAUGUAUUUCGUAACCUCUGGCUUCCUUUCUUUUAGUUUAUGUUUGGUUUGGGCUUCACAAAGCGACCCUGUUUUGAGUCUGAAAAGUUUGGCACUGUCGAAAGUCAUCAGUUUUUUUAAUGCCAACCUCCUUCAGUAGCCCCCUGUCAUAAUAACAGUACUUACUAGAAACGUCUGUGUGUGUGUGUAUGACUUCCACAGGAGAUUCAGCCCAGGGCCUUGGCAUGCCAGGCAAGUCCUCUAAGCACUCUACAACUGAGCUACAGUCUCAGCACCCCCUCUUCUUCUUUUCUUUUUAAAUUUUAUUUUCAACAAGGUCUCACUAUAAAGCUCAGGCUGGCUUCACACUUGUGGUCCUCUUGUCUUAGUCUCUUGAAUAGCUGGGAUUGUGGGUAUGUGCCACCACACCCCACUAACAUACUUGUUUUGUUUUUUAUUUUAAAGAGAAUAAAAUCAAACAAGAUAAAACAGAAUAAAGCUAAUCAGAACAAUGAAAGUGAUACAAGACUUCAAAACAAUAUAAUAAGAAAUCAGUGAUGACUACCAUAAUGUCUUGUUUUCUUCAAAAUAGCUGUUCAUACCAUCAGGCAUAAUAAGAUAAAACAGAAUAAAACCAAUUUAAAAAAAGAACAAAAGUGUAUUUUAAAGAGAGUAAAAAAAAACAGAUUAAAGCCUGUCAAAACAAAACAAUGAAAGUGAUACAUGAUUGAAAAACAGGAUAAUAGGAAAUCAACAAAGGCUACUGUUAAUGCUUCUUGUUGUCUUCAAAAUUGCUGCCCAUAGCAGCAGAUAUGAUACAAAUCAAAGCAGAACAGAAUGAAACCAAUCAGAACACUGAAUAAGACAAAGCAAUAAAAUGGAAAAAAACAAAACAGUGAAAACAAUAUUGGAUUUCAAAAACAAGACAGAAGGAAAUCUUCCAUAUUUGCUGUUACACAUUGUUAUCCUCUUAAUAGAUGCUCAGACUACCAGCCUUAGGCCUGCAAAGGCAAUCAAACAAUACAAGCAUUAAGUUGUUUUGGUACCUCAAGUGCUAUCAACUCAGUCUGUCCUUGAAUUAGGUGGUUGCUUACAGGGUUGCUGUUGAUGGUGGGGUUUUUGACUCCCAGCCCACUUGCCAGUUGGCUCAAGGGAAGGCAAAUUGGCUUCUUGUUCUUCUUGUUACUCCUCUCAGGCCCUUAAAGUACUUACUUUUAAACAGAGGUACAGAUGUGCUCAAAUAAAGGGAGUGCUUUUCAAGUCCUUCUUUCUGUUGAUUCUUGUUGUGUGACAUUCUCGUAGGUCAUAUAAGUGAGUGAACUAUGCCUUGUUUCAUGUCUUUCUUUGUGCUUCCUAUACGUGCUGUCCUGUGUCUGGCCUGGUGUGUGGAAGCCAUGAGCCAGGGGGUGGAUAACCAGGGCGCCCUGGAGAACCUGACAGCCUCAGGGGUGGGAGGCAGACCUGGUGGAGGUGUCUGCAGGUCUUUUGCACAGCCCUGGGAGGCUGUGUGGUGGCAAUGAUGCAGAUCCUGGCAAACCUCCACCCCCUUAGCAGUUGAAAGGAAGUGCUGGAUGCUACAAGUCCAGCAAACUGGCGUAAUGUGGGAGAAUAACAUCUUGCUGCUUCAGGAGCCUCUCUGGAGCCAUCUUGCUGGAUCUCUUUGAGUCACAUGAUUAUCAUAACGCUGUAUCAAUACGUUUUGAGAAGCAGCUCAUUGGGGGUUGAAUAAAAGUGGAUUUUAGGUGUAACUGCCUCAAACCAGGUAGAACACAUGACAUUCUUAACUUGGGCCUCUGUAGGCAGUCCCGGCCUAUCAAGGGUUUAUGCUGUGAAAAUUGUUACGCAAAUUGGACCCAUUUCUAGCACACUCCACUAUGAUGGAUUGGGAACCACAGGAGACGAUAGAUACUCUGGUCAUGGAUGUCUGCUCCAGGAACUACCUGCUAAGACCAAGCCGAUAAAACAGUAUUGCUUAAGUUUAAAGCUAAUUUUACUUAGCGGCUGACAAUGACCCUUUGGAAUUCCCUGAAGAAACUGAGCCCUAGCCUCUGUUUUCUUUACAACAGGAUCUGGCCUCCUUCGCCUGUUACCCUCCUGGGAACUGCCUUGUUUCUGAAGCCCAGCCAAGCCUGGGAUCCUGCCUGACGCCACUGCCACGUUUGUAGACGUCUGUGAGCAGUCUGCAGGAAGCCCAGCUCCUUCUCGCUGGGCCUCCUGGGUUUGGACUGUGCUCCGUGUCUCCUGCCAUGUUCUCCACACACGUCUGCCUGCCAGGCUGAAGCUUCUACCCACCCUUCCUUCCUUUUUUCCUGCCAGCAAGUCCAUCAAACCCCAGCUCCCAGUUUCCCAAUCCAUCUAUUCUCCUUUACCAAGCCCGCUCCCUGGUGGCCUCUAGGGUAGGAAGAAAGUUAACCUCUAGGACUGGGCUCAUUUGAAAUCUGGCCGCUCUAUUCUCCUCUUCUUCCAGGAUCUAUUUAAAAACUGUUCCGGGUGCACAGGAAGCAGAAGCAUUCUUUUCUGGGCCUGCAAGCCAGAGGGGCCGAGUGAGGACCUUGCUUCCUGCUGGGAGUCUCAGGUCUAGUUUAGGACAAAGCCCAUCUUUCCUUGGACCCCACAAGGAGAGACAGGAAAGCCGCCAAGGAGGAGCAGAAAGCUGCCAGCAGAACCCCAGCCAGGCCCCAGACCUGCGUGUCUGAGUGUUCCAACGUUUUGCUAUGCAGUUUAGACUGGAUUUGAACUCACUUUGUAACCCAGGAUGGCCUCAAACUUGCACAUCAAUAUCCCUCCUUGGCCUCCUAAGUGCUGGGAUUACAGGCGUGUACCACCAUACCUGGCUUGGCAAACAUUCAGAUACGGUUGCAGCAUAUUUGUUUUAUGCAUGAACUUGGCCUACAUGAAGCCAGAUUUCGUAAGCUCUCAGCUUCAUACUAUUGCAUUUGAAGUUCUAGGUUUGGGUGAGAAGAGGGUCAUAUAUUGUGAAGAAGCCAAGAAACAUUUGUUUAAUGAGUUUUGAAAACUGUAUGUUGUUAUUUUGCUAAUAAAACAUUGGAGAAGUUA
Long non-coding RNA from Cavia porcellus (domestic guinea pig), 3287 nucleotides. RefSeq lists it as uncharacterized. Lineage: Eukaryota; Metazoa; Chordata; Mammalia; Rodentia; Caviidae. The record is from RefSeq and is a predicted model, not a curated record. The transcript has 4 exons.